GAAACACGGACCAAGGAGUCUAGCAUAUGCGCGAGUCAUUGGGUGGUAAACCCAAAGGCGCAAUGAAAGUGAACGCCGGCUUGACUGGCUGAUAUGGGAUCCGGACGGUUUCGGCCGAACGGCGCACCAUAGCCCCGUUCUUGCGGCUUGCCGUAGGGCGGAGGAAGAGCGUAUACGCUGGGACCCGAAAGAUGGUGAACUAUGCCUGAGCAGGAUGAAGCCAGAGGAAACUCUGGUGGAGGUCCGAAGCGGUUCUGACGUGCAAAUCGAUCGUCUGACUUGGGUAUAGGGGCGAAAGACUAAUCGAACCAUC
RNAcentral lists this ribosomal RNA (313 nucleotides) under Teratocephalus lirellus. Its description in RNAcentral is "eukaryotic LSU rRNA". It matches the Rfam family "Eukaryotic large subunit ribosomal RNA", at positions 656 to 944 of the family's 3401-position model. Lineage: Eukaryota; Metazoa; Nematoda; Chromadorea; Rhabditida; Teratocephalidae. The record is from RNAcentral.